GGAUGGGUAGGUAGACUUUUCCUUCCUCCCUCACCAAUUCAUGUGCAUCCUCCUGAAGCCAUGUGCUCAAUUGAAGAGGUCAACCUUCCCUAUAUAGUGGAACUAGUCUUCAGUCAAAGGUAUUCAAGUAGCUGCAAUUGCUUGCUAGAACCUCUCAACAAGCUCUCAAGAUAAUAAUGGUUUAUAUGUUUGGAGGCCAGCAUUACACAACAUCCUUUCUUGUAGCUGUCACUGUCAUGAGCAAUGGAUUUACCAA
This 256-nucleotide small RNA is filed under the name Jaculus jaculus (lesser Egyptian jerboa). Its description in RNAcentral is "7SK RNA (ENSJJAG00000009323.1)". It matches the Rfam family "7SK RNA", at positions 69 to 331 of the family's 331-position model. Rfam says of the family: 7SK was discovered as an abundant small nuclear RNA in the mid-70s but a possible function has only recently been suggested. Two independent studies have found that 7SK RNA binds the CDK9/cyclin T complex (known as elongation factor P-TEFb). P-TEFb activates transcription by phosphorylating the C-terminal domain of RNA polymerase II. The record is from RNAcentral. Lineage: Eukaryota; Metazoa; Chordata; Mammalia; Rodentia; Dipodidae.